Equus asinus (donkey) is the source of this 1741-nucleotide long non-coding RNA. NCBI's taxonomy places the organism in Eukaryota, Metazoa, Chordata, Mammalia, Perissodactyla, Equidae. The record is from Ensembl.
CCCAAGUGUGCGAAUGAUUGUUCUCUCUUUACAAAUGAGAGCAGUUAUCACUAUUCAACGUUAUUCACUGGUUCGCUAGGGAAAAGGUUGAGCACUGGCCCUUAUCCACCUCCUCAACUUCCCUCAGAGACAAUUUGACAACUCCGGGCUUUCCCACGUAUGAUUCUGCUUGCAUGGCCUACCUUAUCUCCUACCUGGCAAACGCCUACACACCUUCAAGACCUAUCCUAACAUACACUUGUUUGAUCUUCCUGACACAUCAUUUGCCACCUUGGGCUAUAAUUUACGCAUCUCUCUUCCCCCAUUAGACUGAAUUAUCUGAUGGAAGAAUUUUGUUCAUGGAUGUUAAGGUGGUGUAGGGCAUAGUGUGUGUUCCUAAAUGUGAUAAGUAUUAAAUGAAGACGUUUGCUCAGUAUCAGAAGCAUCACUGUAUUUAUUGUGAUUUUGUUUUAUCCCUAUUACUGAGUAUGUAUUUUAAAAGCUUUAAAAGUAACUUUGCCUUAUGAAUGUGCAUUAAAAGUAAAUAUAAAUUUAAAAUACAGUAACAUUCUAAACUCAGUAUCACUUAUGAAAUUUGGAAUAUUCAAAAGUAAAUGUAAGAGCUGGCAACAUUUCAUUUAUAUUUUCUAAAGACAUUCUUUGUGUAAAGAAUUCUAUCUUCCAACCCAUAUUUUAUCUGGUUUCCAUGGCAAAGUAACCAUUCUGUGACUAGGAUGAUUGCCUCCUUUUGCCCAGUAUCACAUAUACAACAUUCUGAAGCCUACUUUCCCUUAAGAUUGUCCAUUUUACUUGAAAAGAGUCCAGAGUUUUCCAGGAGAAUUAACAACUACCAAAAGUAACACCUAGAUUCUUCUUGCCCUGGCAUUGACUGAAAAUGUAGCGGCCAAGCGUGUCUUCCUGCAUCCUCUGAGAAGGCAGUUAUUCACUGCUAAUGAGCGCUUACCUAGUGAUUGCUCCAGACAACCUGCGGGGUGGUAGUGUGUUCACACAGACACUGCCUUGAGACCCCAUCCCCGUGACAGCGCUCAAUUUGAAGCAGGUAGAUGGCAUCAAUCAGCCUAGAUGAGUUGUUACUCCUGUCCCUAAAUAGGUGUCCCUACACCCCCCAAGCACAUUGAAAGAGUAAAAAUAUUGACCAUUUGGUUGGAAUAUACAAAGAUAAGUGUACAGAUUGCUAGCUUGGAGAGUGAAAUUUCCAUAGUUUUCAGACUUGAAUUCCCAUUUUAAAAAGAUCUCAUUUUUGAGACAAAAGAGUUGUGUUGAUGGCCAAGGACAAGACUUAGUUUCCCAACAGGGUAAAUUAAUUUUGAAAACCAAAGGAGCCACAUGUUGAGAAAGGAGAAGAUAGUCAAGUUUGGUUGGAAAGGAGAGCUUGUCUGUGGUUUUUUUUAUUUCAUGGAGGAAGACUGGCCCUGAGCUAACAUCUGUGCCCAUCUUUCUCUACUUUCUACGUGGGAUGCCUACCACAGCAUGGCUUGAUGAGCGGUACCAUGUCCGCACCCGGGAUCCGAACCGGCGAACCCCAGGCUGCCAACGCAGAAUGUGCGAACUUAACUGCUGUGCCACCAUGCUGGCCCCUAAAAAAUAAUUUUGGAGAGUAACCUUAAGAAAGAUACAAGCAACUUAUCCUUACAUCUAGAAACGCAGUGUUGGAAAUAGUAAAUUAUAGGUUCUCUACUCAUAAUUUGCCUUUUGUAAUCAUUUCUUUAUUCUGUAAAGAAAUCAUCUGUAUUCUUCAGCC